AUGAACUACUGCUGAUCUGCCAAAAACUAUGUCCUGGAAAACAACACAGUAUUUUUUUAUUUUGGCCAAGAACAGCAUAAUCAUAAUUCCAGUAUAAGACCACUGGAAAAACUUUAAUGGUGGAUCAAAAUAUACCAUCUCCUGUACUGCAGAUUUUCCACAGACCUUUUCUUGAUAUUUGGUUUUAUAUAGAUAUAAAAAAUGAAAUAGACAGGUUUUUUUAUAGAACAGCGGUGUGGUUUUUUUUUCUGACUUCCAGGUGUGGUGACCCACUGUGAUGGCAGACAGAGUUCAGUUCAGUGUUAUGGAGCUUUGGGAGGAACUGUUUCUCUCCAACUGAUGGACGACUUCUCACAAAUAAAAAAAAACGAGGAAGCGCCAGAAACCAAGUACAUGGUUGUAAUAUAUAGAGGAAAAGAUCAAAAAUAUUCUCAUGAAAUGCAGAACAGAUCUUCAUUUUUCCCCAGUAAUGGGACAGUUUUGAUCAACAACCUGAGCAGAACUGACAGUGGUGAAUGCACACUUACAAGCUAUAACUCAGAUGGACUUCAAUUAUUAACCCAGACCAUAGACUUGUGUGUUCAAGCUCCUGUGUCCUCCGUCUCGCUGGUCUCUGAGUGUUUGUCUCAGGGAGAGAUGAAGGUGUCCUGCUCCUCUGAGGGAGGGGACAGUCCUCAGUACAGGUGGACUCUGAAUGGAAAGUCACUGACAGAAGCUGAGCUGCUUUCUGGAAACAAGCAGACAAACAUCAUCACUUUGAAACAACACGUCUCAGGACGUCUGGUCUGUUCCUCCUGGAACCACGUCAGCUCUGCUUCUAAAGAGAUAAACAUCACUAACUGUGGUGAGUUAGAGGAAUAAAAACUUUGAAAAGUUGUGAUUACUCUGUACAUCAUAUACUUUGUUUUCUCACAGGUUUCAUUUACAUAAACUGCACUUUUAAUGGGACGAAGAUAUCAAAGUGGGUGUUUAAGGAAAAUGACACUCUGUGUGUUGAACCAACAACAUCACCAACAGAGGGACAAAGCACUGUGGGUAAGGAGUCAGAGGACUAUUAUUCUCCAUCCUUCACACAUUUGUUAACCAAUAAGUAAAUGUGGACCAGCUUGAAGGUAAAUCAAAUUCUCCCAAAUUAAAAUAUAAUUUAGGCCAUAUUAAAACAGUAAACACAAUUUAUUAAUACUCUGUAACAAUGGUGUCCAGACUGCAUGGUGGCAAAGUGGUUAGCAUUCUUGCUUUAUGGAGAAGGCUCUGGUUAAAAUUCCAUCAGUGGCCUUUCUGUGUGGAGUUUGCAUGUUUACCUCUAGUAAGUUUUUUGCAGCCACUCUGGAUUCUCACAAAGUCCAAAAACAUGCUUCAUAUGUUAACUGGGGACUCUCAGUUGUCUCUUAGUGUGAAAAAACUAGUUUGUAUUGCACACAUAAAUCUAGUCUUCCUCGAUGCAGAAUACUAUAAAUAGAAUCUCCUUUGUAAUUUAAAAACGUUUUUUUGGUUAUGGGUCUAACAUAUUGUUUCGUCUUUAUGUCUCUAGUUCACACAGAUCUGUCCGUGCUGAAAUGCAGUCUGAUGUUUCUGUUUUCUGUUGUUUGCUUUGUUGGAAUCGGCGUCUAUUUCAAGUGGAAGAAGAUCAAAUCUGAGAAAGCUGAACAGUUUGCUGCAAGAAACAGAAGAAAGUUUUCAGAUCAUUUCUAUGAAAAUGAACAAGCACUGUACAGUAACAUUCAACCAAAAUCAUGGAAACAUUUCAGUGGAGAAGCUUGAUUUGUACGGAUCAUUUUGAUGAAAACAUAUAGCGUUUUCCAAACUGAUUUUAGGAUUGCAUGAUGUGGAGGAAAUUACAUUGAUUGUAAAGAAUAUGCAAGCAAAGACAGGCAGAUCAGUCUUUCAGGCUCCUUGAUGUAAAACUUGAGAUGAAGCUCAGUGUGAAGUAUUGUUUGUGCCCCUCUGCCUUCAUUACCUAGCUGUGUAUUUGGACCUGAGCUUCUGUUACCUGACUCUGUGUCUGACUUUGUUUGCCUGCCACCUGCAUCGACUCUCAACAGGAUCUUAACUAUCCUGUUUUUCCUCUGAUGAUCUCAUGCCUGUUAUUAACUGCUGCCUGUCUGAGCCUGAUUUAUCUUUGUGGACUUUUAGCUGAGCUAAUAAACCUGCUGCAUUGGAAUCAGCCGUCUGCCUGUUUUUGUGACAGUAUUGUUCAUUUUAAUCCAGAGAAUUCUAGUUUUUCAA
Molecule: long non-coding RNA, 2226 nt
Filed under: Oryzias sinensis (Chinese medaka)
Lineage: Eukaryota; Metazoa; Chordata; Actinopteri; Beloniformes; Adrianichthyidae
Description: lncRNA (ENSOSIG00000009766.1)
Source: RNAcentral